UCUCAUUCGGAUUGGAGUCUGCAACCCGACUCCAUGAAGCUGGAUUCGCUAGUAAUCGCGCAUCAGCCAUGGCGCGGUGAAUACGUUCCCGGGCCCUUGUACACACCGCCCGUCAAGCCAUGGAAGCCGGGAGUGCCUGAAGUGCGUGAGCGUAAGCAGCGCCCUAAGGUAAAACCGGUGACUGGGGCUAAGUCGUAACAAGGUACC
This 207-nucleotide ribosomal RNA is filed under the name uncultured bacterium. Its description in RNAcentral is "partial 16S ribosomal RNA". It matches the Rfam family "Bacterial small subunit ribosomal RNA", at positions 1286 to 1500 of the family's 1533-position model. The record is from RNAcentral.